UGGGGGCGCUCCCAUAUGGUCGACCUGCAGGCGGCCGCGAAUUCACUAGUGAUAGAGUGUGAGCAUGGGUCAGAUUGAACGCUGGCGGCAUGCCUUACACAUGCAAGUCGAACGGCAGCGCGGGGCAACCUGGCGGCGAGUGGCGAACGGGUGAGUAAUAUAUCGGAACGUACCCUGGAGUGGGGGAUAACGUAGCGAAAGUUACGCUAAUACCGCAUACGAUCUAAGGAUGAAAGUGGGGGAUCGCAAGACCUCAUGCUCCUGGAGCGGCCGAUAUCUGAUUAGCUAGUUGGUGGGGUAAAGGCCUACCAAGGCAUCGAUCAGUAGCUGGUCUGAGAGGACGACCAGCCACACUGGAACUGAGACACGGUCCAGACUCCUACGGGAGGCAGCAGUGGGGAAUUUUGGACAAUGGGCGCAAGCCUGAUCCAGCAAUGCCGCGUGAGUGAAGAAGGCCUUCGGGUUGUAAAGCUCUUUUGUCAGGGAAGAAACGGUAGGGGCUAAUAUCCCUUGCUAAUGACGGUACCUGAAGAAUUAGCCCCGGCU
Molecule: ribosomal RNA, 546 nt
Filed under: uncultured beta proteobacterium
Lineage: Bacteria; Pseudomonadati; Pseudomonadota; Betaproteobacteria
Description: bacterial SSU rRNA
Rfam family: Bacterial small subunit ribosomal RNA
Source: RNAcentral